UUGGAGGGCAAGUCUGGUGCCAGCAGCCGCGGUAAUUCCAGCUCCAAUAGCGUAUAUUAAAGUUGUUGCAGUUAAAAAGCUCGUAGUUGAAUUUCGGGGUCAGUAGGUUGGUCGUGCCAAUGGUGUGUACUGGCUUUACUGAUUCCUCCUUCUUGAAGAACUGUAAUGUCAUUAAUUUGGUGUUGCAGGGAAACAGGACUGUUACUUUGAAAAAAUUAGAGUGUUUAAAGCAGGCUAACGCUUGAAUACAUUAGCAUGGAAUAAUGAAAUAGGACGUUCGAUCCUAUUUUGUUGGUUUCUAGGAUUGACGUAAUGAUUAAUAGGGAUAGAUGGGGGCAUUAGUAUUCAAUUGUCAGAGGUGAAAUUCUUGGAUUUAUUGAAGACUAACUACUGCGAAAGCAUUUGCCAAGGAUGUUUUCAUUAAUCAAGAACGAAAGUUAGGGGAUCGAAGACGAUCAGAUACCGUCGUAGUCUUAACCAUAAACUAUGCCGACUAGGGAUCGGAUGAUGUUAAUUUUUUAAUGACUCAUUCGGCGCCUUACGGGAAAC
This 549-nucleotide ribosomal RNA is filed under the name uncultured Glomeromycotina. Its description in RNAcentral is "SSU rRNA". It matches the Rfam family "Eukaryotic small subunit ribosomal RNA", at positions 548 to 1098 of the family's 1831-position model. The record is from RNAcentral. Lineage: Eukaryota; Fungi; Glomeromycota.